RNAcentral lists this long non-coding RNA (1946 nucleotides) under Homo sapiens (human). RNAcentral's name for it is "novel transcript". The record is from RNAcentral. Lineage: Eukaryota; Metazoa; Chordata; Mammalia; Primates; Hominidae.
GCAACAUGCAGGAUCUUCCCGGCCUGACUGCUGCACCUCGAUCGUGAGUCGCCCCUGCCUGAGCGGCUUCCACCGCCUGGAAAAAACUAAGAAACUCAAGAGGAGUCAUCAGAAUUCCUGCCAUGUGGGAGUCAUCAACCCAAUGGGUGACUUCUUUUCUGCUCCACAUAUAAGAGGAUUACUUAGACCGAGCCAGGACAAUGAGAUUCAAUCCUGAAAUUUUUUUCAAACUUGGAAAGAGGAUCUCUUUUCCAUGGGAUUGAAAAUAGAGCUCCUGAGAACCUGCCUGAUGGAGAGUGCAACAUAGAGAAAAGCAGAACGAAGACACAGAGAGAAGGAGUUCCAUUUUGACUUCUAGAUCCAACCUUGCCUGCAGCUGAGCUUGUUCACUGAUGUUUUCGUCUCCUAUUCCAAGCAAGUAGCCAGGCUAAUUGCCGCCUUACUUCAGGGAAGUCUGUGGCAGAAGCUUGAAAGCAAAUGACCUACUACACCUGCUUGUGUCCUGGUCUUCAAGAGCUUGGGUUCCUGAAGUGGAUUAUGCUGGAGGAACACAGGUAGAAGCAGAAGUAACAAAGGAGAGAAGGAGACUGCCCUACUGCCCUAUACCAGGAAGGUGUGGUGGUUUCCACAAUCAUCAAGGGGCCUGUGUCCUACUUCUAGCAGAACCUGGGGAAGAAGACAAGGAUUCUGCGGAGCCUAACUGUGUGGUGAAGCUAGGGAGGCUGUACCCUUGGCAACAGGGCUUCCAUUGUGAAGAAAGAUGCCUGCAGGCCAAGAAGAGCAGAGAAACAGAGUCACUGCCAUUCAACAGUUCAUGACAACUUCAACAAUAGGGCCACCAUAAUGAGCCAAAAAUUAGGAGCAAUUCUCCUGUGUUUUAAGGAACCACAAAGUCUCUGAGAGACUGAAGAAGAGAGAACACCCAAAUGACAAAUUAAAUUUACCUCCAGCAAGGUGGGAUUAAGGCUCACAGAAAUAUCCAGCACACUCUCCUCACAUCUACUGGGGUCCAAGGCCUCAACAGCACAGUCUCCUCAACCUGCUGCUCCAGACAUUUCGCUUUUCUUCCUCUGCUUGAAUCCUACAAUCGCAAUGCUUUCCUGCCUCUGUGUUUGCUUGGAAUUUUUUGUCCUUUGGCAAUUUAAUGCUUGUAUUCAUCCAUUUAAUAAUAAGUGCCCAUCUUUUCUAUCUUCAAAUACUUGCCCUUCAUAAGGUUCUCCCUGACCCCUCUGAAAAGCCAUAAUUUCCUCCUUUACAUCUCCAAGUUUUGUACUUCUCUUGGGACAUUUACCCUGUACUACUUUUUGUUAUCAUUUCACAUCUGCUCCUCCCAACAUCUUAAACAUUUAUUGAACAUCUACUAAGCAUCCUAAAGACAGUGACUGUUUCCCAAGUACCUAGCAUAACACCAUAUGCCAUUGACCUUAGGACACUAAACUGAACAGAGCACAGAGCCUGUCCUCAAAGUUCUCAAAGUCUAUGUAUCAUGCUCAGGGAUCACAGGAUUGUAUGUAGUAACUUCUCAGCCUUUGUUGAUCUUGAUUGUCAGCACUUUAAAGCUCCAUUCAGCUACUUAUGUAAAAUUUAAGCAAAAUGAGGAAGAUAAUUUCGUUGGAGAGAAAGCUUCUGGAUGCUUCAGAAUAUGCCACCUCACCUGAAUGGUAACCAUUACACUUGUAAAUAAGAUAAAAUAGCAAGAAAAAUAUAAACAUAUGCUUUGAUUAUUUCCUUUUUGAAAAUCAAUAAGAUCAUUUUUAUUUUCAAAGAAAAUGUGCAAAUAAAAAUAUUGUUACCACUUAUUUGAAAUCCAUGAAAAAUGCUGAGGUGAAGGAACUGUUGUCCAAAAACUGCUUUCUCUUCCCGGGCUUACUUCCUUUGCCUUCAUUGUUUUCUGCUGCCACUCCUGCUUUGGAAUUUGCUGUUAUGUGUAAUAAACUCCAUCACAG